This 476-nucleotide ribosomal RNA is filed under the name Microceramus pontificus. Its description in RNAcentral is "partial 16S ribosomal RNA". Lineage: Eukaryota; Metazoa; Mollusca; Gastropoda; Stylommatophora; Urocoptidae. The record is from RNAcentral.
AGUUUAUUGCUUUUUAUAAUAAAUUAUUCCUGCUCCAUGAUAAUUUUAAAUAGCCGCAGUACCCUGACUGUGCUAAGGUAGCAUAAUAAUUUGUCUUUUAAUUGAAGUCUUGAAUGAAUGGAUUUAUGAAGGGAAAACUUUAUUUGGUUUAGAAAACUAAUUUAUUUAGUAAGUGCAAAUUCUUACAAUAUUAAUAUUAGACGAGAAGACCCUAAGAGUUUAGAUAAAUAGUUGAAUCUUAUAAAGCCGUAUCAUUAGGGCUUAUUAUAAGUAGACUAUAAUAUUUAGCUGGGGCGGCUACUUAUCAUUUAGUAACAUAAGUAUAAUUAGUCAUUCAUAAAGAAUUUUUUACAUUUGAAUAAACUACCUUAGGGAUAACAGCAUAAUAUUUAAUAUGAUUGUGACCUCGAUGUUGGACUAGGUAAAUAUAAAGAUUAGAAGUCUUAAUUAUUUGUUCUGUUCGAACAUUUUUACCU